GCUACACGCUCCAGGCUGGGGCCCGGCCCUCCCGGCCUUAGUUUCUUCCCUUCCCUCAGUGGCCUGGACCAGGGCGGAGGGGUGGAAACGACCUACCCCAGAGACGGAGGGAAGACUAGGAUGAUACCUGGACGGCAGAGACAGCAGUGAUCCAGUUCCAGUCCCACUUCCUCAACUGCCGGCUGGUGGUUUCCACCUGCAUGUGCUCAUCUCUUUACUCAUGCCCUAAGGACUCAACACCAGUGCCUGAUAGGAUCUACUGAGGAUGCUGAAACUCACUUGAUAGAUGUUCAAGCUCCCCACGCCUUCUCCAGCUGGUGGUCAGUAUUCUUAGGUCCAGCAUACCACCCACCAAGCAUCCUUGCCCGACUGACUAAGUGUUUUGUACCUGGACAAUUCAAAAGGGAAUGCGGAGGUUGCUCUAGCCUGUAUCUCCUCCUCUGGGCAGACCCAUAUCUCUGGGAUUCCACCAGCUCUUCUGACUAUGCCUCCUGUGUUCCCCACUCCCCGCUGUCAGGAAGCCCUUCCUUUUGCCCACUUUACAUCACUCACAUUGACGUUUGACCUCCACAUGGAAUUCCAAUGUGCCCCCGUUUUGUGACCAGGACUAGGCCCCCUUGACAUCUACGAGCUCAUGUGUACAUGGGGUAACUCUGAUAAAGCCAGCAUUAUUAUGCUUCUGCUGAAUACUCAUUUAUUAUUGCAGUGCCUCCACCAGAACAGAGGAAAGCAAAGAAAUUUGCACCCUGACCAUCUGGGUUUGUUGCUAAACGCAAAGACAAAAUCAGGAAGUGAAGCCCAUGCUUAGGUACAAUUGAGGCUGUAUAGUUUAGCAGGAUUCCCAGUAAGCCAGUCCUUAUUGCCUUUCAUUCUUCCUAUUCCUUUGUCCUCUUCAAUUUCUCCCCUUUGAGCAUCAAGUCCCUUUUCUCUGCCCUUUGUGCUCUCUCCACUUCGAUCCGCGUCUUCCUUCUUUGUCCCACAGCCAGUCUGCAUUGAUAUUCAUGCCAAAAGAAUGACCCAGUCCGUUCUGUGGUAGCAAUCCGAGACUGGUGACUGGUGCAACUGCUGGAAUAUAUAAACAUGACUCUUUUUCAGGUAGCAUCUGGGAUGCCAGUCUUAGCAGCCUCAUUUAAAAAAUUAUUUAUAUUCACAAAAGUCUAUAAUAGCAUUUUUAUUGUGUACACCUGUGAUUUGGGUGCAUUUUUUUCCCCAUGCCAGCUUCUUAUUAUUGUUCAACACUGACUACAGCCUUAAAUGAUAAUGAAAACAGAAGCACUCUUUCUAAAAGGAAUGACUGCUUUCCCCGUCCUUUAGUAUAUAUGUGCUCCCUGCCUGAAGGGGAUGGUUUAGUGUUUAGACGGCCGCUCCCGACUGCCUCCAAAACCAAGUUCACAUCCUUGCAGCAUUGACUCGGUCUUUUAUUCUUCUACAGAGAAUAAAUUGAAUACUAGGCUAUUUUGUGUGUGGGUGUCUUUCAGAUGAGACCUUAAAACCCAAAAGCUGUCUGUGGCUACUGGAGAUGCUGAAGUUCUUGUCCUGCUGUCCUUGCCCUGGGUUCCAGAACCUGGCCUGGCCACACAUGUCACACACUCACUUUACAUUUUUUUAUGUUUUGUUUUGAGACAGGGUCUCACUCUAUUGCCCAGGCUGGAGUACAGUGGCGCUACCUUGGUCACUGCAGCCUCGACCUCCCAGGCUCAAAUGAUACUUCUGCCUUAGCCUCCAGAGUAGCUGGGACUACAGGCGUGCACCACCAUGCCCGGCUAAAUUUUGUGUUUUCUGUUUUUCUUUUUUUUGAGAUGAAGUCUAGCUCUGUCGCCCAGGCUGGAGUGCGGUGGCACGAUCUCGGCUCACUGCAACCUCCACCUCCUGGGUUUAAGCGAUUCUCCUGCCUCAGCCUCCUGAGUAGCUGGGAUUACAGGCGUGCACCACCAUGCCCAGCUGAUUUUUGUAUUUUUAGUAGAGAUGGGGUUUUACUGUGUUGGCCAGGCUGGUCUCAAACUCCUGACCUCGUGAUCUGCCGGCCUCAGCCUCCCAAAGUGCUGGGAUUACAAGCGUGAGCCACUGCGCCCGGCUAAUUUUGUGUUUUUUCUAGAGACAGGGUUUCACCAUGUUACCCAGGCUGGUCUCAAACUCGUGGGCUCAAGCAAUCCACCCGCCUCAGCCUCCCAAAGUGCUGGGAUUACAGGUGUGCACCACUGUGCCUAGCCCACACACUCACUUUUGAAGAGAGCUGUUUAUUUGGGCCUUUAUUCCCUCAGUUCCUGUGGUUUCUUUGCUUCUGUGACAUGACCUGCUACUUUCACCCCUUGGUUUUCCAGUGCAUUAAAAAAUCAAGCAACAAAACAAUUUCCCUUAGAGUCAAAGUGCUACAAAUAUAAGCUUGUUAUCUGUAUUCCAUUAUGAUGAAUAACUCACCAACCCUCAUGCCAUGUGUAUGAUUGACUUGCAAUUAUGUGUUGUAUUUUACAGCACCUCCGAAUGGUAUUCUCCCUUGGCUGUUCCUCAAGCCAAGCCUGGAACCCCUGGGUCAAAUGAGAAUGGGUGGAUUUUAUAGACUCCAAGGAUUUUAUUUUCCCCGAGCCUAGAUAUUAGGUCUGUAAUUAGCGAUGCAAUAAUAAUACCUUUUACUUGCCAUUUUAUGCCUUUUCAAAAAUGUGUUUCAUGUUUUUGUGAUUAAUUUUCACAAAAAUUUCUUUGGCAUAGGCAGGACAGAUAUAAUGGGCUGUCUGAUUUUACAGCUAAGGGACAGUCAAGGCAAGGUUCAAUGACUUGCCCAAGUUCCUUCAGCAAAUCUAAGACAGACCUGGGACUGGAACCGGAUUUUGUAAUUUCAAGGUGGUGGUUUUUCUGUGGCCACUGCGUGUGUAACAAACUCAAGACAAUUGUAGUUACAUUCAAGUUUUCAUCUGAUCCUGUGAUGACCUUACAGGACAGGGUGAGCAGGUAUUAUCAUCCUCAUCUUUCAGAUCAGGAAGGAGAACUCCAGAGAGAUGGGGUUACUAGGGCAAUAUGGUAAUUAAACAAAAGAGGAAGGACUUAAUUCCAAGGCUCCAAGUCUGCAGCUUUUGGUGAUGCUUUGCUGCCUGAUUAAUGCCUGAGACCACCACUCAUUCAGUGGCUUUGGCCCAAAACUUAGACUCAUCCUUGACUCCUUUUUUCCUCUUACUUCAUAUCUGACCCAUCAGCAAAUCUCACAGAUUCUAUCUUUAAAAUAUAUUUCAAAUCAACCAUUUCUUAUCACCUUCGCUGCUAUUAGCCUGCUCUAAUCCUUCAUUCUUUGUCACCUGGAUUGCUGCAGUGGUCUCCUGUAUGGCUGGACUACAAAGAUGGUCCUCAAUGAAGCAGUCCUCAAGGACUGCUUGUACAACAUGGACAUCUCAGCUCACCUGUGACUCAUUUUAGCCCGUAGAAUGUGGAGGAUGUGAUGCUGUGUGUUUCUGACCUAAGUAUUGAGAAGGAUUUUAUACUUCUGAGACCCCUGAGCUACCUGUAUGAAGUCUAGGUACUAGUAUCUCUGCCAGAGAUUCUAAGUGAAGAGACCACAUGAAGAGGAAGAGGCCUCAGACUGCAUGGAGUGAGAGAGUCCCAGCUGAGCCCAACUUUUUACUGCCCCCAUAACUUUUUACUGUCCCCUGGUGGAGCAGAAGAACCACCUAGCUGAGCCCUACUGACCUGUAGAAUAAUAAGAGAUAAUAAAAUGGUGGUUGUUUUAAGACACUUAGUUUUGGGUUAGUUUUUUACAUAGCAAUAGAUAACUAAAACAUCUAAGGGGUCUCCCUAAUUCCACACUUGUCACCAAUCUAUUUUCCAGAAGAUUUAAAAAAAUUGUGGUAAAAUACUCAUAACAUAAAAUUCACCAUCUUAACCUUUUUUCUUUUCUUUUCUUAGAGACAGGGACUUACUGUGUUGUCUAGGCUGGAGCGCAGUGGCUCUCUACAAGUGCAAUUACAGCACACUAUAGCCUCAAACUCCUGGGCUCAAGUGAUGCUCCUGCCUCAACCUCCCAAGUAGCUGGGACUAAAGGUGUGCACCACUGUGCCUGGCUUCACCUUAACCUUUUUUUUGGUUUUGUUUUUUAUUUUUUUUGAAAUGGAGUCUUGCUCUGUGGUCCAGCCUGGAGUGCAGUGGCAUAAUCUUGGCUCACUGCAACCUCACCCUCCCAAAGCUGUAAGCUGGAUUAUAGGCAUGUGGCACCACGCCUGGCUAAUUUUUGUAUUUUUAGUAGAGACAGGGUUUUGCCACGUCUGCCAGGCUGGUCUCGACCUCCUGACCUCAGGUGAUCUGCCCACCUCGGCCUCCCAAAAUGUUGGGAUUACAGACAUGAGCCACUGCACCCAGCCACCUUAACCAUUUUUAAGUAUAGUUCAGUAUUGUUAAGUAUAUUCACAUUAUUGUGCAACCAAUCUCCAGAACACUUUUCAUCUUGCAAAUCUGAAACUCUGUAUCUGUUAAACAAUAACUCCCCAUUUUCCCCUCUCUCCAGGCCCAGCAACCACCAUUCUACUUUCUUUUUCUAUGAACUUAACUCUUAAAUUCCUCACUUAAGUGGAAUUAUACAGUAUUUGUCUUUUUGUGACUGGCUUAUUUCAUUUAGCAUAAUGUCCUCAAGGUUCACCCAUGUGUCAGAAUUUUCUUCCUUUUUGUUUUUCGUUUUUGAGACAGAGUCUCACUCUAUUGCCCAGGCUGGAGUACAGUGGCACGAUCUUGGCUCACUGCAACCUCCGCCUCCCGGGUUCAAGUGAUUCUCAUGCCUCAGCCUCCCA
RNAcentral lists this long non-coding RNA (4766 nucleotides) under Homo sapiens (human). Its description in RNAcentral is "non-protein coding lnc-MEGF11-1:2". Lineage: Eukaryota; Metazoa; Chordata; Mammalia; Primates; Hominidae. The record is from RNAcentral.